UACAGAGGUCCCAAGCGUUGUUCGGAUUCACUGGGCGUAAAGGGUGCGUAGGCGGUCGGGUAAGUCUGACGUGAAAUCUUCAAGCUCAACUUGGAAACUGCGUCGGAUACUAUUCGGCUAGAGGAAUGGAGGGGAGACUGGAAUACUUGGUGUAGCAGUGAAAUGCGUAGAUAUCAAGUGGAACACCAGUGGCGAAGGCGAGUCUCUGGACAUUUUCUGACGCUGAGGCACGAAAGCCAGGGGAGCAAACGGG
RNAcentral lists this ribosomal RNA (253 nucleotides) under uncultured bacterium. Its description in RNAcentral is "partial 16S ribosomal RNA". It matches the Rfam family "Bacterial small subunit ribosomal RNA", at positions 524 to 776 of the family's 1533-position model. The record is from RNAcentral.